Molecule: ribosomal RNA, 398 nt
Filed under: uncultured bacterium
Lineage: Bacteria
Description: bacterial SSU rRNA
Rfam family: Bacterial small subunit ribosomal RNA
Source: RNAcentral
AUUGAACGCUGGCGGAAUGCUUUACACAUGCAAGUCGAGCGGCAGCGCGGGGGCAACCCUGGCGGCGAGCGGCGAACGGGUGAGUAAUACAUCGGAACGUGUCCUUAAGUGGGGGAUAGCUCGGCGAAGGCCGGAUUAAUACCGCAUAAGCUCUGAGGAGGAAAGCGGGGGCUCCGUAAGGACCUCGCGCUGUUGGAGCGGCCGAUGUCGGAUUAGCUAGUUGGUGGGGUAAAGGCCCACCAAGGCGACGAUCCGUAGCUGGUCUGAGAGGAUGAUCAGCCACACUGGAACUGAGACACGGUCCAGACUCCUACGGGAGGCAGCAGUGGGGAAUUUUGGACAAUGGGGGCAACCCUGAUCCAGCCAUUCCGCGUGAGUGAAGAAGGCCUCGGUUGUAA